AUUCAAAAUUACUUUGUGCCGAGUGAGGUUGAUUCUCCUGGGGUACAACAUUUGGAGUCCCCAGAGAGAUCACCGCGAGGUCCCCCUCCCUUUGGGGUGGACCUCCUGGGACUAGUGAAGGAAGCCUCCAUAUCCUUCGCCUUAAAUUGGCUUUCGAUUUGACCAGGAGCUUUUUAAAUCCGUCCGGGGACGGGUGGAGGAUGGGGCAAGCCCACGCGAAGGCCCGAACCCCGCUGCAAUGCCUGCUGAGUCACUGCUCUGAUUUCUUUAAGGCUCCUGUGACUAGGGGAAGCCAGCAGACCCAGGCUUCCUCAGGACCUGUGUGAAUUAGAGCGGCUCACUUUUGGGAGAUCAUUCAAGUGCUGGCCACUGCCACUCCAGGCCAGCCCCCACUUCAAGUUCCACAAGACGUUGGCCAUCAAUCCUGCCAGCCUGCCUCCAGAUGAUGACCCGGAGAAAGCUCUGCAGGACUACCUGGAGGCAGUCGACACUGUAGAUGGCCGACCAGACCUCAGGGAUGACCCACUGCCAUCAUCAGAUGAGGUAUUGUUCACGGACGGGAGCAGUUAUGUCCAGGAAGAAAUCAGUUCUUGCAGGCCCUGCAGUCUGCCCAGAGGCUGUCCAUAAACACAUCUGGGAUGCCAUGCCUGUGCCCACCGCGGACCCUGUGCACCCUUUCCAGCCCGGGGACUCAAUGUAGGUAAAGAAAUUCACCACCCGGGGACGAACUCCAGCCUGGAAGGGACCAUACGCUGUCAUCCUGCCUGCACCAAUGGCUGUCAAGGUCAACGGCAUCCUGGUCUAGCUGCACCACUCCUGGCUGAAGGCGGAAAAAGCAGAAUGGACGGUGCAGACCUCUCCAGAUCCCUUAAAAAUGAGACUCUUGCGUUUAUCGGGACUCUAAUUUUUCUGAUUAUGACUAUACAGGGGAAUCUUUAUAGAUCUAGGCCCCAGUGGAACUGGGAACUUAGAAAUAGGAUAUUAGGGGAGGUCUUAAGAAAUGUCACCACAAAGGGGAUAGAAAAACCUAUAUUCAGUUUCAAACUAUGUGAUCUCAUGAGAGGUCAUAGGCACAGAUAACAUUACUGAAGAUUGAUGUCAUAUAGAAAGGCCCCUACCCUGGGCUUAUAGGACAUCUACAGGGGAAUGGGAACUAUGGGGGUAGGAACCUAUGUAUGCCAAGGGAGUGGUACUGUCACCACAAGUUACUUAAAUACAAAUCAAUAGUUUUGUCCAUCUUGAGGUUGUGAAACCAUAUUUACUACUAAGGACUAUCUAAGAAGCAGGGACCCUCAUUCAGGUUUUAGAAGGUUAACCAAGACCAAGGGUUUCCCUAUAGAAAAUCUGACCCCAUGCAGAUUACUGUCAUUAGUCAGCCAGACCUUUAUUAGGCCACAGGAAGGUCAUAGGGGCUGACUGCUGGUUAUGCCCAAAUUCGAGGCCACCUUAUUAUAAAGGGCUAGGCCUCUCCGAACCAAUUUCCCAGACCCCAUACGCUGACAACUGUACAUGGGACCAGCCCAAGUUAACUUUGGGGACUACCCAAAGGCAAGGGACUUGCAUAUGCCCAGCUAAGUAUAAGCGUGAGCAGUACAAAGCAGAUGAGGUUUAGAUCUCCCUUUCCUGAAGCAGGGAAGACUCUGUGUAGCACUAGGCGAAAUCUGCUGUUUCUAUGCCAAUAAUUCAGGAAUAAUACAGGGACAGAGUUAGUUUCCUUAAUAA
Long non-coding RNA from Molossus molossus (Pallas's mastiff bat), 1722 nucleotides. RefSeq lists it as uncharacterized. The record is from RefSeq and is a predicted model, not a curated record. NCBI's taxonomy places the organism in Eukaryota, Metazoa, Chordata, Mammalia, Chiroptera, Molossidae. The transcript has 4 exons.